AUUGAACGCUGGCGGCAGGCCUAACACAUGCAAGUCGAGCGGAUGAAGGGAGCUUGCUCCUGGAUUCAGCGGCGGACGGGUGAGUAAUGCCUAGGAAUCUGCCUGGUAGUGGGGGAUAACGUCCGGAAACGGGCGCUAAUACCGCAUACGUCCUGAGGGAGAAAGUGGGGGAUCUUCGGACCUCACGCUAUCAGAUGAGCCUAGGUCGGAUUAGCUAGUUGGUGGGGUAAAGGCCUACCAAGGCGACGAUCCGUAACUGGUCUGAGAGGAUGAUCAGUCACACUGGAACAGAGAGACGGUCCAGACACCUACGGGAGGCAGCAGUGGGGAAUAUUGGACAAUGGGCGAAAGCCUGAUCCAGCCGUGCCGCGUGUGUGAAGAAGGUGUUCGGAUUGUAAAGCACUGUAAGUUGGGAGGAAGGGCAGUAAGUUAAUACCUUGCUGUUUUGACGUUACCAACAGAAUAAGCACCGGCUAACUUCGUG
RNAcentral lists this ribosomal RNA (484 nucleotides) under uncultured bacterium. RNAcentral's name for it is "partial 16S ribosomal RNA". It matches the Rfam family "Bacterial small subunit ribosomal RNA", at positions 30 to 507 of the family's 1533-position model. The record is from RNAcentral.